This 487-nucleotide ribosomal RNA is filed under the name uncultured bacterium. RNAcentral describes it as "partial 16S ribosomal RNA". It matches the Rfam family "Bacterial small subunit ribosomal RNA", at positions 28 to 507 of the family's 1533-position model. The record is from RNAcentral.
GAUGAACGCUAGCGAUAGGCUUAACACAUGCAAGUCGAGGGGCAGCACAAGGUAGCUUGCUAUCUGGGUGGCGACCGGCGCACGGGUGCGUAACGCGUAUGCAACUUGCCCUAUACAGGAGGAUAACCCGUCGAAAGACGGACUAAUACUGCGUAUGCUCACAACUUGGCAUCAAGUGGUGAGGAAAGAAAUUCGGUAUAGGAUAGGCAUGCGUCCCAUUAGCUUGUUGGUGAGGUAACGGCUCACCAAGGCAACGAUGGGUAGGGGAACUGAGAGGUUUAUCCCCCACACUGGUACUGAGACACGGACCAGACUCCUACGGGAGGCAGCAGUGAGGAAGAGUGGUCAAUGGGCGCGAGCCUGAACCAGCCAAGUCGCGUGAAGGAGGACUGUCUUAUGGAUUGUAAACUUCUUUUAUACGGGAAUAACAAGAGUCACGUGUGACUCCCUGCAUGUACCGUAUGAAUAAGCAUCGGCUAACUCCGUG